GGGGGUGUAGCUCAGCUGGAAGAGCGCAGCGUUCGCAAUGCUGAGGUCAGGGGUUCGAAUCCCCUCACCUCCACCA
RNAcentral lists this transfer RNA (76 nucleotides) under Planctomycetota bacterium. RNAcentral's name for it is "tRNA-Ala". It matches the Rfam family "tRNA". From Rfam's summary of the family: Transfer RNA (tRNA) molecules are approximately 80 nucleotides in length. Their secondary structure includes four short double-helical elements and three loops (D, anti-codon, and T loops). Lineage: Bacteria; Pseudomonadati; Planctomycetota. The record is from RNAcentral.